Molecule: ribosomal RNA, 548 nt
Filed under: uncultured bacterium
Lineage: Bacteria
Description: bacterial SSU rRNA
Rfam family: Bacterial small subunit ribosomal RNA
Source: RNAcentral
UAGGGAAUCUUCCGCAAUGGGCGAAAGCCUGACGGAGCAACGCCGCGUGAGUGAAGAAGGAUUUCGGUUCGUAAAGCUCUGUUGUUAGGGAAGAAUGAUUGUGUAGUAACUAUACACAGUAGAGACGGUACCUAACCAGAAAGCCACGGCUAACUACGUGCCAGCAGCCGCGGUAAUACGUAGGUGGCAAGCGUUGUCCGGAAUUAUUGGGCGUAAAGCGCGCGCAGGUGGUUUAAUAAGUCUGAUGUGAAAGCCCACGGCUCAACCGUGGAGGGUCAUUGGAAACUGUUAAACUUGAGUGCAGGAGAGAAAAGUGGAAUUCCUAGUGUGGCGGUGAAAUGCGUAGAGAUUAGGAGGAACACCAGUGGCGAAGGCGGCUUUUUGGCCUGUAACUGACACUGAGGCGCGAAAGCGUGGGGAACAAACAGGAUUAGAUACCCUGGUAGUCCACGCCGUAAACGAUGAGUGCUAAGUGUUGGUCUCAUAAGAGAUCAGUGCUGCAGCUAACGCAUUAAGCACUCCGCCUGGGGAGUACGACCGCAAGGUUG